RNAcentral lists this ribosomal RNA (253 nucleotides) under uncultured bacterium. Its description in RNAcentral is "partial 16S ribosomal RNA". It matches the Rfam family "Bacterial small subunit ribosomal RNA", at positions 524 to 776 of the family's 1533-position model. The record is from RNAcentral.
UACGUAGGCAGCGAGCGUUGUUCGGAAUUACUGGGCGUAAAGAGUGUGUAGGCGGUGUUCCAAGUCUGGUGUGAAAUCUCCCGGCUCAACUGGGAGGGUGCGCCGGAAACUGGAAUGCUAGAGGGUGGGAGAGGUAAGCGGAAUUCCUGGUGUAGCGGUGAAAUGCGUAGAUAUCGUAAGGAAGACCAGUGGCGAAGGCGGGUCUCUGGACAGUUCCUGACGCUGAGGCACGAAGGUCAGGGGAGCAAACGGG